AGAGUUUGAUCCUGGCUCAGAACGAACGCUGGCGGCAGGCCUAACACAUGCAAGUCGAACGCUCCGCAAGGGGAGUGGCAGACGGGUGAGUAACACGUGGGAAUCUUCCUAUUGGUAUGGAAUAGCUCAGGGAAACUUGGGGUAAUACCGUAUAAGCCCGAGAGGGGAAAGAUUUAUCGCCAAUAGAUGAGCCCGCGUCUGAUUAGCUAGUUGGUGAGGUAAUGGCUCACCAAGGCGACGAUCAGUAGCUGGUCUGAGAGGAUGAUCAGCCACACUGGGACUGAGACACGGCCCAGACUCCUACGGGAGGCAGCAGUGGGGAAUAUUGGACAAUGGGCGCAAGCCUGAUCCAGCCAUGCCGCGUGAGUGACGAAGGUCUUCGGAUUGUAAAGCUCUUUUGGCGGGGACGAUAAUGACGGUACCCGCAGAAUAAGCCCCGGCUAACUUCGUGCCAGCAGCCGCGGUAAUACGAAGGGGGCUAGCGUUGUUCGGAAUCACUGGGCGUAAAGCGCACGUAGGCGGAUUUGUUAGUCAGGGGUGAAAUCCCGGGGCUCAACCUCGGAACUGCCUCUGAUACUGCAGAUCUCGAGUCCGAUAGAGGUGAGUGGAAUUCCUAGUGUAGAGGUGAAAUUCGUAGAUAUUAGGAAGAACACCAGUGGCGAAGGCGGGUCUCUGGGCAGUAACUGACGCUGAGGAGCGAAAGCGUGGGGAGCGAACAGGAUUAGAUACCCUGGUAGUCC
Molecule: ribosomal RNA, 740 nt
Filed under: uncultured bacterium
Lineage: Bacteria
Description: bacterial SSU rRNA
Rfam family: Bacterial small subunit ribosomal RNA
Source: RNAcentral